Molecule: ribosomal RNA, 301 nt
Filed under: uncultured bacterium
Lineage: Bacteria
Description: partial 16S ribosomal RNA
Rfam family: Bacterial small subunit ribosomal RNA
Source: RNAcentral
CAGUCGCCGCGGUAAUACGGAGGGUGCAAGCGUCAAUCGGAAUUACUGGGCGUAAAGCGCACGCAGGCGGUCUGUCAAGUCAGAUGUGAAAUCCCCGGGCUUAACCUGGGAACUGCAUUUGAAACUGGCAGGCUAGAGUCUUGUAGAGGGGGGUAGAAUUCCAGGUGUAGCGGUGAAAUGCGUAGAGAUCUGGAGGAAUACCGGUGGCGAAGGCGGCCCCCUGGACAAAGACUGACGCUCAGGUGCGAAAGCGUGGGGAGCAAACAGGAUUAGAUACCCCAGUAGUCCCUGUCUCUUAUAC